Molecule: ribosomal RNA, 490 nt
Filed under: uncultured bacterium
Lineage: Bacteria
Description: bacterial SSU rRNA
Rfam family: Bacterial small subunit ribosomal RNA
Source: RNAcentral
GAACGGACAGACAUGAGAGCUUGCUCUUAUGAAAGUUAGUGGCGGACGGGUGAGUAACGCGUGGGUAACCUGCCCAUCAAGCCGGGAUAACAUCGUGAAAACGGUGCUAAUACCGGAUACACUUACGAAAUCGCAUGGUAUUGUAAGGAAAGGUGGCCUCUGAUAUAAGCUACCGAUGAUGGAUGGACCCGCGUCUGAUUAGCUAGUUGGUAAGGUAAUGGCUUACCAAGGCGACGAUCAGUAGCCGGCCUGAGAGGGUGAACGGCCACACUGGGACUGAGACACGGCCCAGACUCCUACGGGAGGCAGCAGUGGGGAAUCUUCCGCAAUGGACGAAAGUCUGACGGAGCAACGCCGCGUGAGUGAAGAAGGCCUUCGGGUUGUAAAACUCUGUCAACAAGGAAGAGAGCUUACUUUGAAAAUAUUGAGGUAAGAGGACGGUACUUGAAGAGGAAGCCACGGCUAACUACGUGCCAGCAGCCGCGGUAAU